GUGGAUCUGGCUCAACUGGUACGGCACCGGUCUCGAAAACCGGCAGGCGAAGUGAUUCGCCAUGAGGGUCCGACUCCCUCGAUCCACG
RNAcentral lists this transfer RNA (88 nucleotides) under Clostridium sp. AF50-3. RNAcentral's name for it is "tRNA-Ser". It matches the Rfam family "tRNA". Rfam says of the family: Transfer RNA (tRNA) molecules are approximately 80 nucleotides in length. Their secondary structure includes four short double-helical elements and three loops (D, anti-codon, and T loops). The record is from RNAcentral. Lineage: Bacteria; Bacillati; Bacillota; Clostridia; Eubacteriales; Clostridiaceae.